This 99-nucleotide microRNA precursor is filed under the name Picea abies (Norway spruce). RNAcentral describes it as "miR3710h stem-loop (pab-MIR3710h)". The record is from miRBase by way of RNAcentral. Lineage: Eukaryota; Viridiplantae; Streptophyta; Pinopsida; Pinales; Pinaceae.
GAGUCAGUUGGGAACCUGACGAGUCUCCAAAUUCUUGACUUGCGCUUGUGCUCAUCUCUGCAGACACUUCCAGAUUCGGUUGGGAACCUAACGGGACUC